CCUACGGGAGGCUGCAGUGGGGAAUAUUGGACAAUGGGGGCAACCCUGAUCCAGCCAUGCCGCGUGUGUGAAGAAGGCCCUCGGGUUGUAAAGCACUUUCAGUGAGGAAGAACGCCUGGUGGUUAAUACCCAUCAGGAAAGACAUCACUCACAGAAGAAGCACCGGCUAACUCCGUGCCAGCAGCCGCGGUAAUACGGAGGGUGCGAGCGUUAAUCGGAAUUACUGGGCGUAAAGCGCGCGUAGGUGGCUUGAUAAGCCGGUUGUGAAAGCCCCGGGCUCAACCUGGGAACGGCAUCCGGAACUGUCCAGCUAGAGUGCAGGAGAGGAAGGUAGAAUUCCCGGUGUAGCGGUGAAAUGCGUAGAGAUCGGGAGGAAUACCAGUGGCGAAGGCGGCCUUCUGGACUGACACUGACACUGAGGUGCGAAAGCGUGGGUAGCAAACAGGAUUAGAUACCCUUAUAGUC
RNAcentral lists this ribosomal RNA (465 nucleotides) under Vreelandella stevensii. RNAcentral's name for it is "partial 16S ribosomal RNA". It matches the Rfam family "Bacterial small subunit ribosomal RNA", at positions 338 to 795 of the family's 1533-position model. The record is from RNAcentral. Lineage: Bacteria; Pseudomonadati; Pseudomonadota; Gammaproteobacteria; Oceanospirillales; Halomonadaceae.